UACGAAGGGGGCUAGCGCUGUUCGGAAUUACUGGGCGUAAAGCGCACGUAGGCGGAUUAGUAAGUCAGGGGUGAAAUCCCGGGGCUCAACCUCGGAACUGCCUGUGAUACUGCUGACCUCGAGUCCGGAAGAGGUGAGUGGAAUUCCUAGUGUAGAGGUGAAAUUCGUAGAUAUUAGGAAGAACACCAGUGGCGAAGGCGGCUCACUGGUCCGGUACUGACGCUGAGGUGCGAAAGCGUGGGGAGCAAACAGU
This 253-nucleotide ribosomal RNA is filed under the name uncultured bacterium. Its description in RNAcentral is "partial 16S ribosomal RNA". It matches the Rfam family "Bacterial small subunit ribosomal RNA", at positions 524 to 776 of the family's 1533-position model. The record is from RNAcentral.